Molecule: long non-coding RNA, 349 nt
Organism: Polyodon spathula (Mississippi paddlefish)
Lineage: Eukaryota; Metazoa; Chordata; Actinopteri; Acipenseriformes; Polyodontidae
Exons: 3
Source: RefSeq, a predicted model, not a curated record
ACAUCCAAGUAAAACGAUUUGAAAAUAUUGCCCUUACUGGCCUCAGCCAUGGUCAGGGGCACUGGCAAACAAAACAUGACUCGCUGCUUACACCAGGGGGCACUACUGAGCUCUCAAACAAAAAGUUGAGAGGGAGUUAGUUGCGCAGGUACACGGAUAGAGUCCAUACACACUCACACAUCACUCACUACGUGCGCAGCGAUGAAGACCGCUUGCCGCCUUCUCACCCUGGCCCUCCUCUGCCUUUCUGAAUUCAGUUUGGCUGAACAACCUUCUGGCCAACUGUUGUGUGAAAUUUAAUUACUUUAAAUUUAAAAGGAAGUUGAUGUGGAGCCUAACUGUGCGCAGU